RNAcentral lists this ribosomal RNA (774 nucleotides) under uncultured Neocallimastigales. RNAcentral describes it as "partial large subunit ribosomal RNA". It matches the Rfam family "Eukaryotic large subunit ribosomal RNA", at positions 18 to 616 of the family's 3401-position model. The record is from RNAcentral. Lineage: Eukaryota; Fungi; Neocallimastigomycota; Neocallimastigomycetes; Neocallimastigales.
UCAGACGAUGCGUCAUGCAUAUCAAUAAGCGGAGGAAAAGAAACUAACAAGGAUUCCCCUAGUAACGGCGAGUGAAGCGGGAAGAGCUCAAAUUUGAAAUCUUAAAGGGUUUCCCUUUACGAAUUGUAGUUUAAAGAAGUGUUUUCUGUUGAGGUUUUGGUAAAAGUUCUUUGGAAUAGGACAUCAUAGAGGGUGAGAAUCCCGUAUUUGACCUUUACUUUCAACUUUGUGAUACACUUUCAAAGAGUCGGAUUGUUUGGGAAUGCAGUCCAAAAUGGGUGGUAAAUUUCAUCUAAAGCUAAAUAUUGGCGAGAGACCGAUAGCGAACAAGUACCGUGAGGGAAAGAUGAAAAGAACUUUGAAAAGAGAGUUAAACAGUACGUGAAAUUGUCAAAAGGGAAGCGUUUGACACCAGUGUUGUUUUUCUGAAAAUCAAUUAAAGAACUGUUUAUGCUAAACUGUUUAGACUUUAUCAGCUAUCUGUUUAGUUUUGAGCUUUUCUUUAAUGCACUUUUCAGUUAACAAGUCAACAUCAAUUUCUUUUGCUGUAAAAAAGCUUGAGGAAGGUGGCUUGAGAUUCGUCUUAAGUGUUUAUAGCCUCUUGCCUAUGCAGUCGGAGAGAUUGAGGUCUGCAGCGUAGAUCCUUCGGGGCUAAAUGCAUUUGUGCUAAGUUAUAGCAUUUUAUAGACAACUUGUUGACUAUGAUUUGUCUUGUAGCUUACUCGCUUAUGUUAUUUUACCUACGCUUAGGAUGUUGAGCGCAUGUCUCUCUCU